RNAcentral lists this ribosomal RNA (354 nucleotides) under Cacodmus sp. SJ-2013. RNAcentral's name for it is "partial 16S ribosomal RNA". Lineage: Eukaryota; Metazoa; Arthropoda; Insecta; Hemiptera; Cimicidae. The record is from RNAcentral.
GUCUUUUAAUUGAGGACUAGCAUGAAUGGUCAUACGAGAUAUUGACUUUCUUUAUUUUAUUAUAAUGAAAUUUAUUUUUUUGUGAAAAAGCUAAAAUAUAUUUAUUAGACGAUAAGACCCUAUAAAACUUUAUUACACUUUAGAAAUAAAUUUUGUAGAUUUUAUUUAUUUUAUUUUUAAAUUGAAAUUUUGUUGGGGAGACAGGUAAAUUUAAAUAGCUUUAUUAAUUUAUUUCAUUAAUUUAUGUAAGUUUUGAUCCGGUAUUUCCGAUUAGCAGAUUAAGUUACUUUAGGGAUAACAGCGUAAUCUUAUUGGAGAGUUCUUAUUGAUAAUAAGGUUUGCGACCUCUGGUUG